UUUCGGACAGGAUGUCGUUACUUUUGACACCAUGGUGGUUAUUGCCUGAGGGGGAAAAGUUGGAGGCUGGUACUGAAUGGUAAAAGUAGCUGUUGAUGGGCUGUAAAGAAAAAAAAAGUGAAGGCAUUGUCUGUCAGAAAGAAUUAAUGGAGAAAUUGGGGAAGAAGAAGUGAAUAAAAAAAUGAAAUGGAGAGCCUUCCUCCAGAGUGCAUAUCUUGAAAUGAUGCCUCGGUAGAAGAGGGGAGUAGGAAGAGGCGUACAGACACAGUUUGCCAUAUUAACACAAACUGCAGGGGGUUGUGUUGGAGAAAAAGAGAAGUUAGUGGGCAGGAUGAAAGCAAACAUAGGACAGAGACAUUAGCUGGAAAGAAGGAUGACGAGAGAAGGAACGUUUACUGGGAAAAAGAGGAAAAGCCAAUGAGAUUACAGAGCAGGAAAGGGUAAUAACGUGUGAAACCAACAACCGUUCCUCUGUGUGUUGUGAAGGACUACUGUCAUAUAAAUCAUGGUCAUGAACAGGCCAUUUCAUUUAUUGAGGAUGGUGUUUGUUCAUGCCAGAUUUUUACGCCUCACACUAUACGUGUCACUAUACACUCCUUUUAUAAAGUGAUUCUGUCCUCCACCUCCUCGCUGUAGGUAGGAAACAGGAUGACUUUUACCUAUAAUGAGCUGUGGCACAGAUAUGGGCUAUAUCAGCAUGAAACACAACACAACUUGCAAAAAGGUAAAAAUUCAACAAAUAAAUUGUUAACACUUUGUAUGAAGUCCAUAUCCAAAAUUCAUUCGACUUUACAAUUCUUUGUAAAUUGGUAACGAUUCCUAAAUAAGCAUUUUGUAAACUCUAAUAACACCCCAUAAAGCUCUAAUAAUGUGCGUAUAAAUGCGUAAUACAAAUGCGUAUAUAAAUAAUACAAUUUAUACAUGGGUGUAUAAAUAAUUCCUUGAUAACUUAGAGUAAUGUUGUCACUUAUAAAUCUGUGCUGUUCCACAAAAGAUUUAUGACUAAUAAUGACCUGUGAAUAACUACAAUUUAGAUUUAGAAACAUGUAGAAUGGGUUAGUGUAACAAAUAAUCUAUGUUUUCAAACGCGCCCUGAAUAACACAACACCACCAAGUUCGCGGUAAAAACGCUGGUUUAAGAAAAGAGCGAAAUGCCCUUCAAAUUUCAAUGUAGCUAUUAAAAUAUUUUGACAAGACAAUGAGAAAAUGGUCAUGAAAAUGGUGUCUGAGAUGUGUUCAUGACAGUCCAGGUCAACAACUUUAGCAACACAAAUUACAGCCUCACUGGAAUUGUAUAAAUAAGGCUAUAAUUUUAUUUCUUUUUUCUAAAAGAGGUCAUUUUUGUAGUACUAAAUGAUUACAACCAGACUCACUUUAUGAAAGGGGUGUCAGAUGGUUUGAGGGAUACAGUUCUGGCUUUAAUGAAAAAAACAUCCGGGUGGUUCAGGUGGUAGAGCGGGUUGUCCACUAAUCGUAGGGUUGGUGGUUCGAUUCUCAGUGUCCUUGGGCAAGACACUGAACCCCAAGUUGCUCCCGAUGGCAAGUUAGCGCCUUGCAUGGCGGCUCUGCUACCAUUGGGAACCAGUGUAAAGCGCUUUGUAGACCCGCUAAGGUUAAAAAAAUGCACUAAAUAAGUACAGACCAUUCGAUGAACACCAUUCUUAGUAAAUCCCGACAAUACAAGCACCCAUUGUGAACUGAAAUAAUUUAGAUGCAGAGAGUUCUGCUAUACAUCAAAGCAAUGGCAAAUGUAAAGAAAAUGAACAGCUGCCUAAAGAUUUAUCACAGUGUGUUCAAUGCUUUAGAGAAGUUGGGAGAAUUCCUGUACACCGGUGUUUUUAGUGAGAUGAGCAAUUUACUGAAUAACACAGAGAACAUAUCCAUAUGAAUAAAACAUCGGCCCAGUUUCAGCCAUGAACACAGAGGACCUGACAGAAAAGUGGCGCAAACAGCCAGACGCAGGCACACAAACUCCACAAACUGGAUUCUGCUCUGUAUUUCUCCUUUUCCUAGGGUUCAGGUCUUAUAUUUAACUACACUGUUGCGCUGCAUAUACCCAUAAAAUGCUAUCAGCGAUAUAAAAGGUAAAAAAAAAAAAAAGGAAGAAGGUCAAUUUCUACAACAGAUCCAGGUAACAUGAUGUAUCGAUUUCCGGAAUGUAUUUUAAUAUAUUCUGUUCCUAAUAAACAAUAAGAUUAGCUUUACAGUACAUCACGAUCCCGAUAAUGGAGUCUGAUGAUGUUGACAAGUGCUUUAUUCAUAUAACAAGUAGGCAGCUUCGUUUUUAAAGCCUAUUUUAUGCUAUGACCUUUAAAUGAAAGUUGCGAGAAGAUGGAAAGGCACUGAGUAUGACCUGGGUAUUAAGUCCUUUUCCUUUAUUUACCGCAGUGUGAUACUGUGUAGUACUUUUCUCUCCCAAUCAUUUCACACCAACAAGCUAGGAAGAACACGACAGCUGCGUGCCCGUGGAGACGGUACAAAAAAUAUAAAUAAAUAAAUAAAAGGAACAAAAAGCAAAGCUAUUAAGAGGCAAGGUAUUAUGUCUGCACGUGGUGAAAAUUCUGCCUCUUAUCUGUUCCGAACAACACAUUUGUUCAAAACAGCAGCGAUCAAAAGCGCUCCAUCUGAAGAAAUGCAAUCAGAAAUGUUUAGGUUGCUGUGACAGCAUGUCUGUCUUCAUCUUUGGCGGCACAAACAAAGCCUUUCUUCCGUCUCACAGGAGACGAGGAGGACGCUGUUCUGCAAACCCCACAAGGCAUCCAUGCUUUGUGAAGAUCACAAUUAUUGGCACCCAUGUGUGAAAAUACUAUGUUUGUGGAAAGCUGUUCCUAGUGUUUCUGGUAUUAUGCUCCUGGGGAAGGGGGGAAACAAGCCGACUGUUUGAACAGACUGUCAAACUGGUCCAUGGAAAACCACAGGAAAACUAUCAAAGAUGUGUUGAACAGUGAAGGCAGACUUUGGCAUUGUGGUACCUUCGCUUUCAGAGGUUCACUUAGAAGGCAAGAAUAUCCUCCUUUUUGUUUGCUCUCUAGGUACUAGGUACUAAAAAAAGGCUCGAGAUAUUUGAGAGGUGAAAAAAGUGAACCACGUUAAAAACAGACAUAAAAGAUUAUAAGAGAUAAGUGAGGUGUGUCAGUCAAAUAGAAAAUACACAAUACCAGUCCUGAGAUAUUCAUUACUAUACUACAUUAAAUGCAAUGUCUCUUCUUUUUGCAAAAAAAAAAAGAGUUGUUGGGAAACUUGGAGACUUUAUAGGAUUUUACUAAAGCAAGGACAAAUUUCAUGCUAGGUUAGUACAUGGCAAUUGUAUGACAAUUUUGAUUAAGGUCAGUGCUCUUCAUGAUGGUGCGCUGCAUUGAUAUUUUGAUAGCUUAUACUUGCAAUCCUGAGAUCUUUAUUCAGCCGUCAGCAACCAUGCACUAAAUCACGGGGGGGGGGGUUCAUGUAUUAAGGUGACUACAGACAAAUUAGCAUUUUUAUCAUUCGGGUUUAAGGAAGAGUGACUUGUUAUGGAUUUCAUUUAUAGUACACUGGUGAAGUAUGAUAAAAUGCAAUUAGAGACAUAUAGCAAGAGCAGCUAUAUGUUAAGCAGGCAUAUACAGGUUUGAUUUAGGCUGUCCAGAUCAUUUAUGUGGACAAGAACAAGCACGCAGAAUAGCAGUUUAGCCUCAAACCACAGAUCACACCACAGUGUACAAUCAUCUUCAUAUUCAAUGAAGAAAUCCUGAUGAGAGACAAUAAAAAUUCAUAUUCAUUUAAAAUCCCAUUUCAGAUCUCUAUCAAAUACAUACUGUAUGUGUAUGUGUAAUGGGGUUUCUCUGACGGAAAUUUAAAUCAGUAUAGGUGUUAUAUCCUCAGUGCUGUUUGCCCUUUCUUUGAUCUUUCUCUUCAUUAGAUAUCCUCUAUGCGAGACACCUGGAUAUUAUACUGUUUACCGUGUUAAUCCUGAUGUAUUCCUAAUGAACUCUACCAACACUUACAACACCCAAGAAUAUGAUGAACGAGUUAUCAAAAUAUCAAAAGAGUCAUGUUUGCAAACAUUAGUGUGAGACAGGCUGUUAUGCGGACUGAUUCCUCCUCUCUCGUCCUUAUCUGUGAUUAAAUAGGCAGGCUUAGAGAGAGAGAGAGAGAGAGAGAAAGAAAGAGAGAGAGAGAGAGAGAGAGAGAGAGAGA
This is a long non-coding RNA of Ictalurus punctatus (channel catfish), 4173 nucleotides long. The record is from Ensembl. Lineage: Eukaryota; Metazoa; Chordata; Actinopteri; Siluriformes; Ictaluridae.